GACCGAUAGUGAACCAGUACCGUGAGGGAAAGGCGAAAAGAACCCCGGCGAGGGGAGUGAAAAAGAACCUGAAACCGUGUACGUACAAGCAGUGGGAGCACGCUUAGGCGUGUGACUGCGUACCUUUUGUAUAAUGGGUCAGCGACUUAUAUUCUGUAGCAAGGUUAACCGAAUAGGGGAGCCGAAGGGAAACCGAGUCUUAACUGGGCGUUAAGUUGCAGGGUAUAGACCCGAAACCCGGUGAUCUAGCCAUGGGCAGGUUGAAGGUUGGGUAACACUAACUGGAGGACCGAACCGACUAAUGUUGAAAAAUUAGCGGAUGACUUGUGGCUGGGGGUGAAAGGCCAAUCAAACCGGGAGAUAGCUGGUUCUCCCCGAAAGCUAUUUAGGUAGCGCCUCGUGAAUUCAUCUCCGGGGGUAGAGCACUGUUUCGGCAAGGGGGUCAUCCCGACUUACCAACCCGAUGCAAACUGCGAAUACCGGAGAAUGUUAUCACGGGAGACACACGGCGGGUGCUAACGUCCGUCGUGAAGAGGGAAACAACCCAGACCGCCAGCUAAGGUCCCAAAGUCAUGGUUAAGUGGGAAACGAUGUGGGAAGGCCCAGACAGCCAGGAUGUUGGCUUAGAAGCAGCCAUCAUUUAAAGAAAGCGUAAUAGCUCACUGGUCGAGUCGGCCUGCGCGGAAGAUGUAACGGGGCUAAACCAUGCACCGAAGCUGCGGCAGCGACGCUUAUGCGUUGUUGGGUAGGGGAGCGUUCUGUAAGCCUGUGAAGGUGUGCUGUGAGGCAUGCUGGAGGUAUCAGAAGUGCGAAUGCUGACAUAAGUAACGAUAAAGCGGGUGAAAAGCCCGCUCGCCGGAAGACCAAGGGUUCCUGUCCAACGUUAAUCGGGGCAGGGUGAGUCGACCCCUAAGGCGAGGCCGAAAGGCGUAGUCGAUGGGAAACAGGUUAAUAUUCCUGUACUUGGUGUUACUGCGAAGGGGGGACGGAGAAGGCUAUGUUGGCCGGGCGACGGUUGUCCCGGUUUAAGCGUGUAGGCUGGUUUUCCAGGCAAAUCCGGAAAAUCAAGGCUGAGGCGUGAUGACGAGGCACUACGGUGCUGAAGCAACAAAUGCCCUGCUUCCAGGAAAAGCCUCUAAGCAUCAGGUAACAUCAAAUCGUACCCCAAACCGACACAGGUGGUCAGGUAGAGAAUACCAAGGCGCUUGAGAGAACUCGGGUGAAGGAACUAGGCAAAAUGGUGCCGUAACUUCGGGAGAAGGCACGCUGAUAUGUAGGUGAAGUCCCUCGCGGAUGGAGCUGAAAUCAGUCGAAGAUACCAGCUGGCUGCAACUGUUUAUUAAAAACACAGCACUGUGCAAACACGAAAGUGGACGUAUACGGUGUGACGCCUGCCCGGUGCCGGAAGGUUAAUUGAUGGGGUUAGCCGCAAGGCGAAGCUCUUGAUCGAAGCCCCGGUAAACGGCGGCCGUAACUAUAACGGUCCUAAGGUAGCGAAAUUCCUUGUCGGGUAAGUUCCGACCUGCACGAAUGGCGUAAUGAUGGCCAGGCUGUCUCCACCCGAGACUCAGUGAAAUUGAACUCGCUGUGAAGAUGCAGUGUACCCGCGGCAAGACGGAAAGACCCCGUGAACCUUUACUAUAGCUUGACACUGAACAUUGAGCCUUGAUGUGUAGGAUAGGUGGGAGGCUUAGAAGUGUGGACGCCAGUCUGCAUGGAGCCGACCUUGAAAUACCACCCUUUAAUGUUUGAUGUUCUAACGUUGACCCGUAAUCCGGGUUGCGGACAGUGUCUGGUGGGUAGUUUGACUGGGGCGGUCUCCUCCUAAAGAGUAACGGAGGAGCACGAAGGUUGGCUAAUCCUGGUCGGACAUCAGGAGGUUAGUGCAAUGGCAUAAGCCAGCUUGACUGCGAGCGUGACGGCGCGAGCAGGUGCGAAAGCAGGUCAUAGUGAUCCGGUGGUUCUGA
This 1967-nucleotide ribosomal RNA is filed under the name human gut metagenome. RNAcentral describes it as "bacterial LSU rRNA". It matches the Rfam family "Bacterial large subunit ribosomal RNA", at positions 482 to 2432 of the family's 2925-position model. The record is from RNAcentral.